UUAGUACGAGAGGACCGGGAUGGACUGGCCGCUGGUGAAUCUGUUGGUUAAUCAAAGCCAUGGCAGAGUAGCCAAGCCGGGAGGGGAUAAACGCUGAAGGCAUCUAAGCGUGAAGCCCCCCUCAAGAUGAGAUAUCCCUACUGACAAGGUAGUAAGACCCCUUGAAGACGACGAGGUAGAUAGGGCGGAGGUGGAAGUGCAGUAAUGUAUGGAGCUGACCGCAACUAAUCGGUCGAGGGCAUGACCAAA
RNAcentral lists this ribosomal RNA (249 nucleotides) under Dorea sp. RNAcentral's name for it is "partial 23S ribosomal RNA". It matches the Rfam family "Bacterial large subunit ribosomal RNA", at positions 2678 to 2925 of the family's 2925-position model. Lineage: Bacteria; Bacillati; Bacillota; Clostridia; Lachnospirales; Lachnospiraceae. The record is from RNAcentral.